AUAUUUAACUGACAAGAGAGAGAACGUGAUCACAAAGUUGAUUUUCCUAGGGCCUCGCUCAUUGCACUCUGGAUGUGCUAACCCCUGUGAUUUUCCCACAUGUGGGAAACUUGACUGCAGAAUUUGUGCUGGUGGGUUAAAAAACAAAAAAACAAAAAAAGUCCCA
RNAcentral lists this small nuclear RNA (166 nucleotides) under Pteropus vampyrus (large flying fox). Its description in RNAcentral is "U1 spliceosomal RNA (ENSPVAG00000025192.1)". It matches the Rfam family "U1 spliceosomal RNA". Rfam says of the family: U1 is a small nuclear RNA (snRNA) component of the spliceosome (involved in pre-mRNA splicing). Its 5' end forms complementary base pairs with the 5' splice junction, thus defining the 5' donor site of an intron. The record is from RNAcentral. Lineage: Eukaryota; Metazoa; Chordata; Mammalia; Chiroptera; Pteropodidae.